This 120-nucleotide ribosomal RNA is filed under the name Triticum aestivum (bread wheat). RNAcentral's name for it is "partial small subunit ribosomal RNA". Lineage: Eukaryota; Viridiplantae; Streptophyta; Magnoliopsida; Poales; Poaceae. The record is from RNAcentral.
AUGAGGGUGGGCGCUCAUGAUCUGAAGCUCAAGGGGCUCAAGAGGUCUCUCAAGGAGCACAAGGCCAGGCUCUACAUCAUCCGUCGAUGCGUCGUGAUGCUCCUAAGAUGGCAUGAUUGA